GUCUUCCCUUCUUCCGGGCAAGCGACUUGAUGAUUGAGCUUUCGUUUUCAUCGUCUUCUUCCUCUUGAGUCCUGACCUCUUCCUCUACCACGGCGCCGCUCUACCUCGCCGGCUCCCUACCUGCAGUGACGAGCCUUGCCAUCGUCGCCCGCAUCGCAGCACCUCCUGGUCGACCUCCCCCACUACUUCGGCCCCCUGUACGUGCUCGGCGCCUCCCUGUGUUGUGCCCCCGUUCUGCGUCGGAUCGGAUUGGUUUGGUUUGGUUUGGUUUGGAGUCGACUCCCAAGCAAUCCACCUCCCUAACCCCAGAAGGCCUAUCCAUCUUCGUUCAUCCCUCAACAGAUCAGCUUUCACGGCACCUUGUGCGGUGGAUGUGGUGGUCGCUUUCUCAUCCCCAUCGUAACUCCGUCGGAGCUCCGGCCAUCCAACCUGCAAUCACCUCUGCUCCUGGUUUAUCAUAGCAUCUCAUGCCCACACUCUGCAAAAUUGGCAUCUGCUCUACUAAGGUCAUCGCUGUGCACAGGGAAUCAAUGCCAAGAAACUCCAGGAGAGCAAGCACCAGCAGGUCCUCGCCCUGUCUCCAUCCACGCUACCAAACUUGGACUUUCUAUAAUAUUGUGUCUACAUCCACGCUACCAUCCAUGGACUUUUUGUAACAACACUCAAAACUGCUCAUGAUUAUCUGUGUGUAAAAUAUAUAUGUAUUUUCACACUAGCUACAUACAGUUUAUGGUUCGCCGUCCUAAAUUACCUAGAAUAAUUAAUGUUAUAUGUGAUAUAUAGUAUCAUAUCUAUUCAAUAUUUUUGCAUCCA
Panicum virgatum (switchgrass) is the source of this 813-nucleotide long non-coding RNA. RefSeq lists it as uncharacterized. NCBI's taxonomy places the organism in Eukaryota, Viridiplantae, Streptophyta, Magnoliopsida, Poales, Poaceae. The record is from RefSeq and is a predicted model, not a curated record. The transcript is spliced from 4 exons.